RNAcentral lists this ribosomal RNA (482 nucleotides) under uncultured bacterium. RNAcentral's name for it is "bacterial SSU rRNA". It matches the Rfam family "Bacterial small subunit ribosomal RNA", at positions 47 to 518 of the family's 1533-position model. The record is from RNAcentral.
CCUAACACAUAGCAAGUCGAACGAAGCUAAGAUGCGGAAGUUUCGGAUGGAAGUGAACUUAGCUUAGUGGCGAACAGGUGAGUAACACGUGAGUAACCUGCCCUUCAGUGGGGGGACAACAGUUGGAAACGACUAGCUAAUACCGCAUAAGACCACAGUGCCACAUGGCACAGUGAUCAAAGGAUUAAUUUUUCGCUGAAGGAUGGACUCGCGUCUGAUUAGCUAGAUGGUGAGGUAACGGCCCACCAUGGCAACGAUCAGUAGCCGGACUGAGAGGUUGAUCGGCCACAUUGGGACUGAGACACGGCCCAGACUCCUACGGGAGGCAGCAGUGGGGGAUAUUGCACAAUGGAGGAAACUCUGAAUGCAGCGACGCCGCGUGAGGGAAGAAGGUUUUCGGAUUGUAAACCUCUGUCUUCGGGGACGAGACAAAUGACGGUACUCGAGGAGGAAGCCACGGCUAACUACGUGCCAGCCGCUGC